RNAcentral lists this long non-coding RNA (1099 nucleotides) under Sus scrofa (pig). RNAcentral's name for it is "lncRNA (ENSSSCG00065053084.1)". The record is from RNAcentral. Lineage: Eukaryota; Metazoa; Chordata; Mammalia; Artiodactyla; Suidae.
AUUUGUCAUGAAAUCUUUUUUUUUUUCCUUUUAGAAGUCCAUUUUAGAAAACACUGGUCAGGAAAGUACAUUAUCCUCAAAGAGAUGGUGACAUCAUAGGAAAGCAAGCUAAAAUGGACUUUUGCGUAGAAAUUAAAUUGUUUUAGUUUUGAGUUCUUAAAUUGGAUUGAUUUAAGAAGGAUACAACCAUUUCUCAGGCCUGUGUAGAAAAGUUAAGUUUGGUGCAGGUGGAAGGCUUAACCAUACAAAGAGCAAGACCAGGUCAAAGGUCUUCCCAAGAAAGAGGCUUCCUCACUCUACCUGAUGAAACCCUCUGUGUCUGUCAGUACCGUCAAAGCACAGAGAAGCGCACAGCCCCACACAGGCCCCUGGUUCUUCCUAUCAGCUCUGUGAUUAGAGACCAGAUCACCAAAUUACAGGCAGAUGACCUCAGUUGCUGACUGAAUCUGUCGGGGCUCACUGUUUAGUGUUUUUGAACCCUUUCGUGAAAGACCAGAGUCUCUUUCCUUCCCUUCCUGUCUGGUUUGCAUCACUGACAAAUUCCAUUUCUCCUCUCUUGAAAAAGACAUUCUUCUUUGGCCCGCUCCCUGUGAGAGAACACAAACCACUCCAAGAUGAGCUGGAAUGCAGCCUUCAUCAUAGGACGAUGAUCUUUUCCAACUGUAUUCAAGUCUGGAGUUCUUCGGGUAAAAAUUAAUCUUCCUGUGGACUCCAGAGGGCCCAUGGGAUUUUCCUUUUGGAUUAGAUGGAUGGUGGCAAGGUAAGCCUGAAGUUUCUCUUCAUGUUAUUACCUAUUAUUUUCUCUGGAAGGGAGGUUUGAAGAGCCCCUUGACUGUGCAGUGGGCAUUGGGAAUUAAGAGAAUGUUUAUUUUCAAUGGCAUGUUCUCAAAGAAAUAUAUAGGCAACUGUCAAAUUCCCUAACCUCCUUAAGCAUCAAGUUCAUAAGUUCUAAAAUGUAUGUAUUUAUAGUACCAUAUUCUAUUUUCCAGGAUUGGUGUGGGAUUAAAAUGAAAUAAUUCAUAUAAAGUCCUAAGCAUAUUGCCUGGGAUUUGGUGAAUGCUUUAAUGUCAGCAGCUACAUAACCAUAUUGAUAAUGUAU